GACGAACGCUGGCGGCGUGCCUAAUACAUGCAAGUUGAGCGCUGAAGGUUGGUACUUGUACCAACUGGAUGAGCAGCGAACGGGUGAGUAACGCGUGGGGAAUCUGCCUUUGAGCGGGGGACAACAUUUGGAAACGAAUGCUAAUACCGCAUAAAAACUUUAAACACAAGUUUUAAGUUUGAAAGAUGCAAUUGCAUCACUCAAAGAUGAUCCCGCGUUGUAUUAGCUAGUUGGUGAGGUAAAGGCUCACCAAGGCGAUGAUACAUAGCCGACCUGAGAGGGUGAUCGGCCACAUUGGGACUGAGACACGGCCCAAACUCCUACGGGAGGCAGCAGUAGGGAAUCUUCGGCAAUGGACGAAAGUCUGACCGGGCAACGCCGCGUGAGUGAAGAAGGUUUUCGGAUCGUAAAACUCUGUUGGUAGAGAAGAACGUUAGUGAGAGUGGAAAGCUCAUCAAGUGACGGUAACUACCCAGAAAGGGACGGCUAACUACGUG
This 497-nucleotide ribosomal RNA is filed under the name uncultured bacterium. RNAcentral describes it as "partial 16S ribosomal RNA". It matches the Rfam family "Bacterial small subunit ribosomal RNA", at positions 28 to 507 of the family's 1533-position model. The record is from RNAcentral.